GAUGAACGCUAGCUACAGGCUUAACACAUGCAAGUCGAGGGGUAACGAGAGGGAAGCUUGCUUUCCUUGUCGACGACCGGCGCACGGGUGAGUAACGCGUAUCCAACCUGCCCCCAACUAGGGAAUAACCUUGCGAAAGUAAGACUAAUACCCUAUAAUUUCCUCAGAUGUCAUCUGACGAGGAAUAAAGAUUUAUCGGUUGUGGAUGGGGAUGCGUCUGAUUAGCUUGUUGGCGGGGUAACGGCCCACCAAGGCAACGAUCAGUAGGGGUUCUGCGAGGAAGGUCCCCCAAAUUGGAACUGAGACAAGGUCCAAACGCCUACGGGAGGCAGCAGUGAGGAAUAUUGGUCAAUGGGCGGAAGCCUGAACCAGCCAAGUAGCGUGCAGGAUGACGGCCCUAUGGGUUGUAAACUGCUUUUAUACAGGAAUAAAGUUAGCCACGUGUGGUUAUUUGUAGGUACUGUAUGAAUAAGGACCGGCUAAUUCCGUGCCAGCCGCCGCCGUAA
This 506-nucleotide ribosomal RNA is filed under the name uncultured bacterium. Its description in RNAcentral is "partial 16S ribosomal RNA". It matches the Rfam family "Bacterial small subunit ribosomal RNA", at positions 28 to 523 of the family's 1533-position model. The record is from RNAcentral.